Molecule: ribosomal RNA, 207 nt
Filed under: uncultured bacterium
Lineage: Bacteria
Description: partial 16S ribosomal RNA
Rfam family: Bacterial small subunit ribosomal RNA
Source: RNAcentral
CGCGUAGGUGGUUUGGUAAGCGAGAUGUGAAAGCCCCGGGCUUAACCUGGGAACGGCAUUUCGAACUGUCAGGCUAGAGUAUGGUAGAGGAGUGUGGAAUUUCCUGUGUAGCGGUGAAAUGCGUAGAUAUGGGAAGGAACACCAGUGGCGAAGGCGGCACUCUGGACCAAUACUGACACUGAGGUGCGAAAGCGUGGGGAGCAAACA